ACGCUGGUGGCAUGCUUAACACAUGCAAGUCGAACGGUAACAGGUCUUCGGAUGCUGACGAGUGGCGGACGGGUGAGUAACGCGUAGGAAUCUGCCCAUCUGUGGGGGAUACCAGUUGGAAACGACUGUUAAUACCGCAUAAUAUCUGCGGAUUAAAGGUGGCCUUUGUGCUGCCGCAGAUGGAUGAGCCUGCGUUGGAUUAGCUAGUUGGUAGGGUAAGGGCCUACCAAGGCUACGAUCCAUAGCUGAUUUGAGAGGAUGAUCAGCCACAUUGGGACUGAGACACGGCCCAAACUCCUACGGGAGGCAGCAGUGGGGAAUAUUGGACAAUGGGGGAAACCCUGAUCCAGCAAUGCCAUGUGUGUGAAGAAGGCUCUAGGGUUGUAAAGCACUUUAGUUGGGGAGGAAAGCCUAUAAGUUAAUAGCUUGUAGGAAGGACGUUACCCAAAGAAUAAGGACCGGCUAACUCCGUGCCAGCAGCCGCGGUAAUACGGGGGGUCCGAGCGUUAAUCGGAAUUACUGGGCGUAAAGGGUCUGUAGGUGGUUUGUUAAGUCAGAUGUGAAAGCCCAGGGCUCAACCUUGGAACUGCAUUUGAUACUGGCAAACUAGAGUAUGGUAGAGGAAUGGGGAAUUUCUGGUGUAGCGGUGAAAUGCGUAGAGAUCAGAAGGAACACCAAUGGCGAAGGCAACAUUCUGGAUCAAUACUGACACUGAGGGACGAAAGCGUGGGGAUCAAACAGGAUUAGAUACCCUGGUAGUCCACGCUGUAAACGAUGAGUACUAGCUGUUGGAUUCGGUGUAAAGGAUCUAGUGGCGCAGCUAACGCGUUAAGUACUCCGCCUGGGGACUACGGCCGCAAGGCUAAAACUCAAAGGAAUUGACGGGGACCCGCACAAGCGGUGGAGCAUGUGGUUUAAUUCGAUGCAACGCGAAGAACCUUACCUGGUCUUGACAUCCUGCGAACUUUCUAGAGAUAGAUUGGUGCCUUCGGGAACGCAGUGACAGGUGCUGCACGGCUGUCGUCAGCUCGUGUUGUGAAAUGUUGGGUUAAGUCCCGCAACGAGCGCAACCCCUAUUGAUAGUUACCAUCAUUAAGUUGGGUACUCUAUUGAGACUGCCGCUGACAAGGCGGAGGAAGGUGGGGACGACGUCAAGUCAUCAUGGCCCUUACGACCAGGGCUACACACGUGCUACAAUGGGUAUUACAGAGGGCUGCGAAGGUGCGAGCUGGAGCGAAACUCAGAAAGGUACUCUUAGUCCGGAUUGCAGUCUGCAACUCGACUGCAUGAAGUCGGAAUCGCUAGUAAUCGCAGGUCAGAAUACUGCGGUGAAUACGUUCCCGGGUCUUGUACACACCGCCCGUCACACCAUGGGAGUGGGUUGCUCCAGAAGUAGAUAGUUUAACGAAUGGGCGUUUACCACGGAGUGAUUCAUGACUGGGGUGAAGUCGUAACAAGGUAGCCGUAGGGGAACCUGCGGCUGGAUCACCUCCUUA
Molecule: ribosomal RNA, 1496 nt
Filed under: Francisella noatunensis
Lineage: Bacteria; Pseudomonadati; Pseudomonadota; Gammaproteobacteria; Thiotrichales; Francisellaceae
Description: 16S ribosomal RNA
Rfam family: Bacterial small subunit ribosomal RNA
Source: RNAcentral